AAUAAGAUGCCUGAUUAAAGGGGUAUCUUGAUAGGAUACAUAAAGUAAAAAAAGAUUACUCUUAUUA
Molecule: transfer RNA, 67 nt
Filed under: unidentified
Description: Ischnodemus noctulus tRNA-Ile
Source: RNAcentral